CCUGCCCACAGAAGCACUGCAGGUGUGGCUGCUGUGUCACAUGUGAGUCAGUAGGUAGCUGAAAGGAGAGAGGCAGAAAGUGGAAGGAAGAGUUGACCCCAUGAGGUCAUGAGAGCUUGCCCUGCCCCUCACC
Psammomys obesus (fat sand rat) is the source of this 133-nucleotide small nucleolar RNA. RefSeq annotates it as small nucleolar RNA SNORA17. The record is from RefSeq and is a predicted model, not a curated record. The transcript has a single exon. NCBI's taxonomy places the organism in Eukaryota, Metazoa, Chordata, Mammalia, Rodentia, Muridae.